RNAcentral lists this ribosomal RNA (302 nucleotides) under Citrobacter braakii. RNAcentral's name for it is "bacterial LSU rRNA". It matches the Rfam family "Bacterial large subunit ribosomal RNA", at positions 2238 to 2539 of the family's 2925-position model. The record is from RNAcentral. Lineage: Bacteria; Pseudomonadati; Pseudomonadota; Gammaproteobacteria; Enterobacterales; Enterobacteriaceae.
AUCCGGGUUGCGGACAGUGUCUGGUGGGUAGUUUGACUGGGGCGGUCUCCUCCUAAAGAGUAACGGAGGAGCACGAAGGUUAGCUAAUCCUGGUCGGACAUCAGGAGGUUAGUGCAAAGGCAUAAGCUAGCUUGACUGCGAGAGUGACGGCUCGAGCAGGUGCGAAAGCAGGUCUUAGUGAUCCGGUGGUUCUGAAUGGAAGGGCCAUCGCUCAACGGAUAAAAGGUACUCCGGGGAUAACAGGCUGAUACCGCCCAAGAGUUCAUAUCGACGGCGGUGUUUGGCACCUCGAUGUCGGCUCA